UUUUAAAGAGAGUUUGAUCCUGGCUCAGGACGAACGCUGGCGGCGUGCCUAAUACAUGCAAGUCGAACGAACGGAGGAAGAGCUUGCUCUUCCAAAGUUAGUGG
Molecule: ribosomal RNA, 104 nt
Filed under: Listeria monocytogenes
Lineage: Bacteria; Bacillati; Bacillota; Bacilli; Caryophanales; Listeriaceae
Description: partial 16S ribosomal RNA
Rfam family: Bacterial small subunit ribosomal RNA
Source: RNAcentral